RNAcentral lists this ribosomal RNA (2904 nucleotides) under Yersinia pseudotuberculosis. RNAcentral describes it as "bacterial LSU rRNA". It matches the Rfam family "Bacterial large subunit ribosomal RNA". Lineage: Bacteria; Pseudomonadati; Pseudomonadota; Gammaproteobacteria; Enterobacterales; Yersiniaceae. The record is from RNAcentral.
UUAAGCGACUAAGCGUACACGGUGGAUGCCUAGGCAGUCAGAGGCGAUGAAGGGCGUGCUAAUCUGCGAAAAGCGUCGGUAAGCUGAUAUGAAGCGUUAUAACCGACGAUACCCGAAUGGGGAAACCCAGUGCAAUACGUUGCACUAUCGUUAGAUGAAUACAUAGUCUAACGAGGCGAACCGGGGGAACUGAAACAUCUAAGUACCCCGAGGAAAAGAAAUCAACCGAGAUUCCCCCAGUAGCGGCGAGCGAACGGGGAGGAGCCCAGAGUCUGAAUCAGUUUGUGUGUUAGUGGAAGCGUCUGGAAAGUCGCACGGUACAGGGUGAUAGUCCCGUACACCAAAAUGCACAGGCUGUGAACUCGAUGAGUAGGGCGGGACACGUGACAUCCUGUCUGAAUAUGGGGGACCAUCCUCCAAGGCUAAAUACUCCUGACUGACCGAUAGUGAACCAGUACCGUGAGGGAAAGGCGAAAAGAACCCCGGCGAGGGGAGUGAAAUAGAACCUGAAACCGUGUACGUACAAGCAGUGGGAGCACCUUCGUGGUGUGACUGCGUACCUUUUGUAUAAUGGGUCAGCGACUUAUAUUUUGUAGCAAGGUUAACCGAAUAGGGGAGCCGUAGGGAAACCGAGUCUUAACUGGGCGUCUAGUUGCAAGGUAUAGACCCGAAACCCGGUGAUCUAGCCAUGGGCAGGUUGAAGGUUGGGUAACACUAACUGGAGGACCGAACCGACUAAUGUUGAAAAAUUAGCGGAUGACUUGUGGCUGGGGGUGAAAGGCCAAUCAAACCGGGAGAUAGCUGGUUCUCCCCGAAAGCUAUUUAGGUAGCGCCUCGUGAACUCAUCUUCGGGGGUAGAGCACUGUUUCGGCUAGGGGGCCAUCCCGGCUUACCAAACCGAUGCAAACUCCGAAUACCGAAGAAUGUUAUCACGGGAGACACACGGCGGGUGCUAACGUCCGUCGUGAAGAGGGAAACAACCCAGACCGCCAGCUAAGGUCCCAAAGUCAUGGUUAAGUGGGAAACGAUGUGGGAAGGCACAGACAGCCAGGAUGUUGGCUUAGAAGCAGCCAUCAUUUAAAGAAAGCGUAAUAGCUCACUGGUCGAGUCGGCCUGCGCGGAAGAUGUAACGGGGCUAAACCAUGCACCGAAGCUGCGGCAGCGACACUUAGGUGUUGUUGGGUAGGGGAGCGUUCUGUAAGCCGUUGAAGGUGACCUGUGAGGGUUGCUGGAGGUAUCAGAAGUGCGAAUGCUGACAUAAGUAACGAUAAUGCGGGUGAAAAACCCGCACGCCGGAAGACCAAGGGUUCCUGUCCAACGUUAAUCGGGGCAGGGUGAGUCGACCCCUAAGGCGAGGCUGAAAAGCGUAGUCGAUGGGAAACAGGUUAAUAUUCCUGUACUUGGUGUUACUGCGAAGGGGGGACGGAGAAGGCUAGGCUGGCCGGGCGACGGUUGUCCCGGUUUAAGCGUGUAGGGGGAGUGACCAGGUAAAUCCGGUUGCUUAUCAACCCUGAGGCGUGAUGACGAUGCACUACGGUGCAGAAGCAGUUGAUGCCAUGCUUCCAGGAAAAGCCUCUAAGCAUCAGGUAACAUUAAAUCGUACCCCAAACCGACACAGGUGGUCAGGUAGAGAAUACUCAGGCGCUUGAGAGAACUCGGGUGAAGGAACUAGGCAAAAUGGUGCCGUAACUUCGGGAGAAGGCACGCUGGCGUUAGGUGAAAGGACUAGCUCCUGGAGCUGAAGCCAGUCGCAGAUACCAGCUGGCUGCAACUGUUUAAUAAAAACACAGCACUGUGCAAACACGAAAGUGGACGUAUACGGUGUGACGCCUGCCCGGUGCUGGAAGGUUAAUUGAUGGGGUCAGCCGCAAGGCGAAGCUCUUGAUCGAAGCCCCAGUAAACGGCGGCCGUAACUAUAACGGUCCUAAGGUAGCGAAAUUCCUUGUCGGGUAAGUUCCGACCUGCACGAAUGGCGUAAUGAUGGCCAGGCUGUCUCCACCCGAGACUCAGUGAAAUUGAACUCGCUGUGAAGAUGCAGUGUACCCGCGGCAAGACGGAAAGACCCCGUGAACCUUUACUAUAGCUUGACACUGAACAUUGAGCCUUGAUGUGUAGGAUAGGUGGGAGGCCUUGAAGUGUGGACGCCAGUCUGCAUGGAGCCAACCUUGAAAUACCACCCUUUAAUGUUUGAUGUUCUAACUCGGCCCCAUAAUCUGGGGUGAGGACAGUGUCUGGUGGGUAGUUUGACUGGGGCGGUCUCCUCCCAAAGAGUAACGGAGGAGCACGAAGGUUAGCUAAUCACGGUCGGACAUCGUGAGGUUAGUGCAAAGGCAUAAGCUAGCUUGACUGCGAGAGUGACGGCUCGAGCAGGUACGAAAGUAGGUCUUAGUGAUCCGGUGGUUCUGAAUGGAAGGGCCAUCGCUCAACGGAUAAAAGGUACUCCGGGGAUAACAGGCUGAUACCGCCCAAGAGUUCAUAUCGACGGCGGUGUUUGGCACCUCGAUGUCGGCUCAUCACAUCCUGGGGCUGAAGUAGGUCCCAAGGGUAUGGCUGUUCGCCAUUUAAAGUGGUACGCGAGCUGGGUUUAGAACGUCGUGAGACAGUUCGGUCCCUAUCUGCCGUGGGCGUUGGAAGAUUGAGAGGGGCUGCUCCUAGUACGAGAGGACCGGAGUGGACGAAUCACUGGUGUUCGGGUUGUCAUGCCAAUGGCAUUGCCCGGUAGCUAAAUUCGGAAGAGAUAACCGCUGAAAGCAUCUAAGCGGGAAACUUGCCUCGAGAUGAGUCUUCCCUGGGGCUUAAAGCCCCCUGAAGGAACGUUAAAGACUAUGACGUUGAUAGGCUGGGUGUGUAAGUGCAGCGAUGUAUUGAGCUAACCAGUACUAAUGAUCCGUGAGGCUUAACCUU